Molecule: long non-coding RNA, 628 nt
Organism: Ziziphus jujuba (common jujube)
Lineage: Eukaryota; Viridiplantae; Streptophyta; Magnoliopsida; Rosales; Rhamnaceae
Exons: 3
Source: RefSeq, a predicted model, not a curated record
CAGCUAGCUAACGCUCUCUCUCACACACACUCUCUCUCUCUCUGGUUUGUUUGUUUGGCUGUGUUCUAGUUGGUAAUGGUGGUUGUGAAGCUACCGCUAUUCUUCGAUUUGCAAGAGAGGAGUAACUGAGAAACGAGAAGAAGAAAGGAGGAAGAAUAAGAAGAAGAAGAAGAAGAAGAAGAAGAGAAAACGACGGAAGGAAGAGGAAAAUAUGUUCAGUCUUCACAGGCAUAGGAAUGCCAAACCCGGAGACAAGGUUGAUUUCAGAUUGUCUCCGUUGAAGGCACUCCAGAUGCCCAAAGGAUGGGACAAGCUGUUCGUAUCUAUUGUCUCUGUAGAAACUGGGAAAGCAAUUGCAAAGUCAAGCAAAGCCAUCACUUGACUUGGACCAAAUUAACAUAGUUGGCUCACAUGGUUUGGUCCUGGGGGCUGGAAUUAAUUGAAUUAUAAGAGGCAGAGCCAUCAGUUUGUCAACCGUGUUUGCUAAGAGAAGUGAGAUUAAAAGUCCAAAGAAGAAAAAAGGGGAAAAACCAAUUCUCGAAAUUUAUGUGGUUUUAAAUUGUAGUUCAAUGUAUAUCACAACUAAAUUAAAGUAAAGCCCUCGUCUUGGAUUGCCACGUAAAAGAUA